RNAcentral lists this ribosomal RNA (462 nucleotides) under uncultured bacterium. Its description in RNAcentral is "bacterial SSU rRNA". It matches the Rfam family "Bacterial small subunit ribosomal RNA", at positions 29 to 507 of the family's 1533-position model. The record is from RNAcentral.
AAUGAACGUUGGCGGCGUGGAUUAGGCAUGCAAGUCGAGCGAGAAGCUUAAGAAAGAUACUUCGGUUGAUUUCUUGGGUGGACAGCGGCGAAAGGGAGAGUAACGCGUAGAUACGUACCCAGGGGUUCGGGAUAGCUGCGGGAAACUGCAGGUAAUACCGAAUAAUGUUUCCGAACCAAAGAUUUAUCGCCCCCGGAGCGGUCUGCGUCCUAUUAGCUUGUUGGUGGGGUAAUGGCCUACCAAGGCUCAGAUGGGUAGCGGGUGUGAGAGCAUGGCCCGUCUCACUGGGACUGAGACACUGCCCAGACACCUACGGGUGGCUGCAGUCGAGAAUCUUCCGCAAUGGACGAAAGUCUGACGGAGCGACGCCGCGUGCGGGAUGAAGGCCUUCGGGUUGUAAACCGCUGUCAGAGGGGAGCAAAUUUUGAGCGAUCCUCAGAGGAAGCACAGGCUAAGUUCGUG